UUGCUUUUGCAGCACAUGUACUACAACUGGAACAUCCAGAGAAGGUUAGCAUGGCUCCUGUGCAAGGAGGACACGCUAAUUUGGGGAGUGUUCUAUAUUUAA
Small nuclear RNA from Echinops telfairi (small Madagascar hedgehog), 102 nucleotides. NCBI's taxonomy places the organism in Eukaryota, Metazoa, Chordata, Mammalia, Afrosoricida, Tenrecidae. The record is from RefSeq and is a predicted model, not a curated record.